Molecule: ribosomal RNA, 500 nt
Filed under: uncultured bacterium
Lineage: Bacteria
Description: partial 16S ribosomal RNA
Rfam family: Bacterial small subunit ribosomal RNA
Source: RNAcentral
AUUGAACGCUGGCGGCAGGCCUAACACAUGCAAGUCGAGCGGUAGAGAGGAGCUUGCUUCUCUUGAGAGCGGCGGACGGGUGAGUAAUGCCUAGGAAUCUGCCUGAUAGUGGGGGAUAACGUCCGGAAACGGACGCUAAUACCGCAUACGUCCUACGGGAGAAAGUGGGGGCUCUUCGGACCUCACGCUAUCAGAUGAGCCUAGGUCGGAUUAGCUAGUUGGUGGGGUAAAGGCUCACCAAGGCGACGAUCCGUAACUGGUCUGAGUGGAUGACCAGUCACACUGGAACUGAGACACGGUCCAGACUCCUACGGGAGGCAGCAGUGGGGAAUAUUGGACAAUGGGCGAAAGCCUGAUCCAGCCAUGCCGCGUGUGUGAAGAAGGUCUUCGGAUUGUAAAGCACGUUAAGUUGGGAGGAAGGGUCGUUACCUAAUACGUGACGAUUUUGACGUUACCGACAGAAUAAGCACCGGCUAACUCUGUGCCAGCAGCCGCAGUAA